This is a small nuclear RNA of Ursus americanus (American black bear), 104 nucleotides long. NCBI's taxonomy places the organism in Eukaryota, Metazoa, Chordata, Mammalia, Carnivora, Ursidae. The record is from Ensembl.
AUGCUCGAUUUGGCAGCACAUACACUAAAAUUGGAAUGAUACAGAGAUUAGCAUGGCCCAUGUGCAAAGAUGACAUGCAAAUUCAUGAAGCAUUCCAUAUUUUG